GGGGAAUAUUGGACAAUGGGCGCAAGCCUGAUCCAGCCAUACCGCGUGGGUGAAGAAGGCCUUCGGGUUGUAAAGCCCUUUUGUUGGGAAAGAAAAGCAGCGGGCUAAUACCUUGCUGUUCUGACGGUACCCAAAGAAUAAGCACCGGCUAACUUCGUGCCAGCAGCCGCGGUAAUACGAAGGGUGCAAGCGUUACUCGGAAUUACUGGGCGUAAAGCGUGCGUAGGUGGUUGUUUAAGUCUGUUGUGAAAGCCCUGGGCUCAACCUGGGAACUGCAGUGGAAACUGGAUGACUAGAGUGUGGUAGAGGGUAGCGGAAUUCCCGGUGUAGCAGUGAAAUGCGUAGAGAUCGGGAGGAACAUCCAUGGCGAAGGCAGCUACCUGGACCAACACUGACACUGAGGCACGAAAGCGUGGGGAGCAAAC
This 425-nucleotide ribosomal RNA is filed under the name uncultured bacterium. RNAcentral describes it as "bacterial SSU rRNA". It matches the Rfam family "Bacterial small subunit ribosomal RNA", at positions 356 to 773 of the family's 1533-position model. The record is from RNAcentral.